GAUGGGCAACAAGUCAGACUUGCUCCUGUCGAAGAAUUGAUGGAAAUUGAGCUCGAGCAUGAUAAGAAGGUGACGAUUGGUCGGGAUCUUGACGUCACCCUGAAGACAGAACUUGUUAGUUGCUUAUCUCGCAACAUUGACGUUUUUGCCUGGAAGGUUGAGGAUAUGUCGGGGAUAGACCCUAAAAUUGCAGUCCAUAGG
RNAcentral lists this long non-coding RNA (201 nucleotides) under Olea europaea (common olive). RNAcentral describes it as "long non-coding RNA (OEUR_LNC011267)". The record is from RNAcentral. Lineage: Eukaryota; Viridiplantae; Streptophyta; Magnoliopsida; Lamiales; Oleaceae.